AAUCCAUGCUGAGGGCACUUCCUAAAAAAUUCCUUGUACCUUUUUCAUGCUUUGUACAAGGUUUCAGAUUCCAUUUGUCGAAAUGAAGAAAUGUCAUUUUUGAGCUU
This is a small nucleolar RNA of Dioscorea cayenensis subsp. rotundata (Guinea yam), 107 nucleotides long. The record is from RefSeq and is a predicted model, not a curated record. Lineage: Eukaryota; Viridiplantae; Streptophyta; Magnoliopsida; Dioscoreales; Dioscoreaceae.